RNAcentral lists this ribosomal RNA (533 nucleotides) under Termitomyces striatus. RNAcentral describes it as "partial large subunit ribosomal RNA". It matches the Rfam family "Eukaryotic large subunit ribosomal RNA", at positions 52 to 589 of the family's 3401-position model. Lineage: Eukaryota; Fungi; Basidiomycota; Agaricomycetes; Agaricales; Lyophyllaceae. The record is from RNAcentral.
GGAGGAAAAGAAACUAACAAGGAUUCCCCUAGUAACUGCGAGUGAAGCGGGAAAAGCUCAAAUUUAAAAUCUGGUAGCUUUGCUGCCCGAGUUGUAAUCUAGAGAAGCAUUGUCAGUGCUGCGCGUGUAUAAGUGUCCUGGAAUGGACCAUCAUAGAGGGUGAAAAUCCCGUCCUUGACACGCUGCUAGUGCGUUCAGAUGUGCUCUCAAAGAGUCGGGUUGUUUGGGAAUGCAACUCUAAAUGGGUGGUAAGUUCCAUCUAAAGCUAAAUAUUGGCGAGAGACCGAUAGCGAACAAGUACCGUGAGGGAAAGAUGAAAAGAACUUUGGAAAGAGGGUUAAACAGUACGUGAAAUUGCUGAAAGGGAAACGCUUGAAGUCAGUCGCGUCAGCUGGGAAUCAACCUUGCUUCUUGCUUGGUUUACUUCCCAGUUGACGGGUCAGCAUCAGUUUCGAUCAGUGGACAAAGGUCAAGGGAAUGUGGCACCUCCGGGUGUGUUAUAGCCCUCGGUCAUAUACAUUGGUUGGGACUGA